CCGAUAACUCACAGAGGCGAAGUCUGAUGCAGCAUGCCGCGUGAGUGAUGAAGGCCUUUGGGUUGUAAAGCUCUUUCACCAGGGAAGAAAAUGACUGUACCUACUUAAGAUGGACCGGCUAAGUUCGUGCCAGCACCCCCGGUAUUAUAAUAUGC
This 155-nucleotide ribosomal RNA is filed under the name uncultured bacterium. RNAcentral describes it as "partial 16S ribosomal RNA". It matches the Rfam family "Bacterial small subunit ribosomal RNA", at positions 356 to 532 of the family's 1533-position model. The record is from RNAcentral.